Molecule: ribosomal RNA, 511 nt
Filed under: uncultured bacterium
Lineage: Bacteria
Description: partial 16S ribosomal RNA
Rfam family: Bacterial small subunit ribosomal RNA
Source: RNAcentral
GACGAACGCUGGCGGCGUGCCUAAUACAUGCAAGUAGAACGCUGAAGGAGGAGCUUACUUCUCUGGAUGAGUUGCGAACGGGUGAGUAACGCGUAGGUAACCUGCCUGGUAGGGGGGGAUAACUAUUGGAAACGAUAGCUAAUACCGCAUAAGAGUAGAUGUUGAAUGACAUUUACUUAAAAGGUGCAAUUGCACCACUACCAGAUGGACCUGCGUUGUAUUAGCUAGUUGGUGGGGUAACGGCUUACCAAGGCGACGAUACAUAGCCGACCUGAGAGGGUGAUCGGCCACCCUGGGACGGAGACACGGCCCAGACUCCUACGGGAGGCAGCAGUAGCUGAUCUUCGGCAAUGGACGGAAGUCUGACCGAGCAACGCCGCGUGAGUGAAGAAGGUUUUCGGAUCGUAAAGCUCUGUUGUAAGAGAAGAACAAGUGUGAGAGUGGAAAGUUCACACUGUGACGGUUUCUUACCAGAAAGGGACGGCUAACUACGUGCCAGCCGCCGCCGUAA